UGAUUCGUCUAUAGUAAUGGA
This 21-nucleotide non-coding RNA is filed under the name Caenorhabditis elegans. The record is from RNAcentral. Lineage: Eukaryota; Metazoa; Nematoda; Chromadorea; Rhabditida; Rhabditidae.